This 521-nucleotide ribosomal RNA is filed under the name Staphylococcus aureus. Its description in RNAcentral is "bacterial SSU rRNA". It matches the Rfam family "Bacterial small subunit ribosomal RNA", at positions 1013 to 1533 of the family's 1533-position model. The record is from RNAcentral. Lineage: Bacteria; Bacillati; Bacillota; Bacilli; Caryophanales; Staphylococcaceae.
UUCCCCUUCGGGGGACAAAGUGACAGGUGGUGCAUGGUUGUCGUCAGCUCGUGUCGUGAGAUGUUGGGUUAAGUCCCGCAACGAGCGCAACCCUUAAGUUUAGUUGCCAUCAUUAAGUUGGGCACUCUAAGUUGACUGCCGGUGACAAACCGGAGGAAGGUGGGGAUGACGUCAAAUCAUCAUGCCCCUUAUGAUUUGGGCUACACACGUGCUACAAUGGACAAUACAAAGGGCAGCGAAACCGUGAGGUCAAGCAAAUCCCAUAAAGUUGUUCUCAGUUCGGAUUGUAGUCUGCAACUCGACUACAUGAAGCUGGAAUCGCUAGUAAUCGUAGAUCAGCAUGCUACGGUGAAUACGUUCCCGGGUCUUGUACACACCGCCCGUCACACCACGAGAGUUUGUAACACCCGAAGCCGGUGGAGUAACCUUUUAGGAGCUAGCCGUCGAAGGUGGGACAAAUGAUUGGGGUGAAGUCGUAACAAGGUAGCCGUAUCGGAAGGUGCGGCUGGAUCACCUCCUUU